UGGGUAACCUGCCUCAAAGAGGGGAAUAGCCUCCCGAAAGGGAGAUUAAUACCGCAUAAUAUGUUUAAGUCGCAUGACUUUAACAUCAAAGGAUUUUCUUUUAGAAAUUCCACUUUGAGAUGGACCCGCGGUGCAUUAGCUAGUUGGUGAGGUAACGGCUCACCAAGGCAACGAUGCGUAGCCGACCUGAGAGGGUGAUCGGCCACAUUGGAACUGAGACACGGUCCAGCUCCGUAGGAGG
Molecule: ribosomal RNA, 241 nt
Filed under: uncultured bacterium
Lineage: Bacteria
Description: partial 16S ribosomal RNA
Rfam family: Bacterial small subunit ribosomal RNA
Source: RNAcentral